GUCUAAAGGGUCCGUAGCCGGUUUAAUCAGUCUUCUGGGAAAUCUAAUCGCUUAACUAUUAGGCUUCCAGGGGAUACUGUUAGACUUGGGACCGGGAGAGGUAAGAGGUACUGCAGGGGUAGGAGUGAAAUCUUGUAAUCCCUGUGAGACCACCAGUGGCGAAGGCGUCUUACCAGAACGGGUCCGACGGUGAGGGACGAAAGCUGGGGGCACGAACCGGAUUAGAUACCCGGGUAGUCCCAGCUGUAAACGAUGCUCGUUAGGUGUCAGGAACGGUGCGACUGUUUCUGGUGCCGAAGGGAAGCCGUGAAACGAGCCACCUGGGAAGUACGGCCGCAAGGCUGAAACUUAAAGGAAUUGGCGGGGGAGCACUACAACGGGUGGAGCCUGCGGUUUAAUUGGACUCAACGCCGGAAAACUCACCGGGGGCGACAGCAAUAUGUAGGUCAGGUUAAAGGUCUUACCUGAAUCGCUGAGAGGAGGUGCAUGGCCGUCGUCAGUUCGUACUGUGAAGCAUCCUGUUAAGUCAGGCAACGAGCAAGACCCGUGCCCACUGUUACCAGCAUAUCCUUUAUGGAUGAUGGGGACUCUGUGGGGACCGCUGCUGCUAAAGCAGAGGAAGGUGCGGGCUACGGUAGGUCAGUAUGCCCCGAAUCUCCCGGGCUACACGCGGGCUACAAUGGUUGGGACAAUGGGUAUCUACUCCGAAAGGAGUUGGCAAUCUCUUAAACCCAAUCGUAGUUUGAAUUGAGGGCUGUAACUCGCCCUCAUGAAGCUGGAAUCCGUAGUAAUCGCGUUUCAACAUAGCGCGG
Molecule: ribosomal RNA, 812 nt
Filed under: uncultured archaeon
Lineage: Archaea
Description: bacterial SSU rRNA
Rfam family: Archaeal small subunit ribosomal RNA
Source: RNAcentral